CAGUCGAACGAAGACUGUAGUAAUACUGUCUUAGUGGCGAACGGGUGAGUAACGCGUGGGUGACCUGCCCCGAAGUGUGGGAUAACAGUCCGAAAGGAUUGCUAAUACUGCAUAAUAUCCAAGAGAUUAGAUGCUUUUGGAUUAAAGGAGUAAUUCGCUUCGGGAGGGGCCCGCGUCCCAUCAGCUAGUUGGUAAGGUAAUGGCUUACCAAGGCGAUGACGGGUAGGGGACCUGAGAGGGUGGCCCCCCACAAUGGAACUGAAACACGGUCCAUACACCUACGGGUGGCAGCAGUAGGGAAUAUUAGUAAUGGGCGAAAGCCUGAACUAGCAACGCCGCGUGUGCGAAGAAGGCCUUCGGGUCGUAAAGCACUUUUUGAGAGGAUGAGGAAGGACGGUACUCUCAGAAUAAGUCUCGGCUAACUACGUGCCAGCAGCCGCGGUAACACGUAGGAGGCAAACGUUAUCCGGAUUUACUGGGCGUAAAGCGCGUGUAGGUGGUUUGGUAAGUAGGGCGUGAAAGCUCCUGGCUCAACUGGGAGAGGACGUUCUAAACUGCCAAGCUUGAGGAUGGUAGAGGGAGGUGGAAUUCCGGGUGUAGCGGUGGAAUGCGCAGAUAUCCGGAGGAACACCAGUGGCGAAGGCGGCCUCCUGGACCACUCCUG
This 664-nucleotide ribosomal RNA is filed under the name uncultured bacterium. Its description in RNAcentral is "bacterial SSU rRNA". It matches the Rfam family "Bacterial small subunit ribosomal RNA", at positions 59 to 742 of the family's 1533-position model. The record is from RNAcentral.